Small nuclear RNA from Spermophilus dauricus (Daurian ground squirrel), 107 nucleotides. Lineage: Eukaryota; Metazoa; Chordata; Mammalia; Rodentia; Sciuridae. The record is from Ensembl.
GUGCUCUCUUGGGCAGCACAUAUACUAAAAUUGGAACAAUACAGAAAAGAUUAGCAAGGCCCCUGUGCAAGGAUGACAGGCAAAUCCGUGAAGCAUUCCAUGGAAAC